UUGUUGAUUCUUGUUAUUUGUUUGGUGAUGCUAAACUUGAAGCACUAGUAUGCAUUAGAAGAGCCCACUGAGCAAUAGCUCAGAAGGCUGCAACACUUGGCCUUAGGACUUACAGGCUGCCAACUCCCAUAUGUUGGAUUGAUUGAUAUAUAUACCCUUAAUGAAAUCGGCUCAGUCUGAUUCAAUCUAAUGUGCUUUCCAUCAAAGUUAGAUGAAACAUCUUGAUAGAUUUAAUCCUUUCAUAUAUUGAUGAUAUUGAUCAGUUGGUUCGAGAAGCUUUGAAUCAUGAAGAUUAUCUUUUGAAUUGUAUGGUACAAUGAUACAAGUGACUUUGAUCCGAUGAUAAAUACUGUCAUCCUUAUGAACAGCAUAUUAAUUUUCUUCUAUCGAUGAUAUGUUUUAUUGUUUUGACGUACCCAAUGUUACAUUGUGUUGUUACAUGGAUUCUUUGGGCUCAAGAAGCAGUUGUCCUAACUAAGGCUCUUGACAUCAACCAACAACACAGGAAGAGGAACACAGAGCAGAGAUGGAAGUCCUUUCACUCUUUAACUUAGUGAGAGAAGAAAACCAGCAGCCAAGGCUGUUGGUCCACAGAGCCUAUACAUGGAGAGAAAUGGAAAGGCAUCUCUUAGUCCUUUUGAUGAAGGAUGGAGACAGCUGCAGCGAGGAUACAGUCCUUUGAAUUAUAUGUGACACCAACAAGUACACAUGACUUCUUUAUACAUGACAUAAUUGUGUAAAAUUCUGCUAGACAAAAAAGAAAAAAAGAACAAAUGAAGAACUCAAUAGAUUUCUAUAGGAACACACUGUAAUCAACAUGUUCACUCAGUCUCAUUAGCACCAAAUGAGGCACACUCUUGGCAACAAAGGAGGACACAGAAACAAGAGAGGCAGACACCAAGUCUCAUCCCAACCUACCAAGAACUCCACCAGCAGCAGCAAAGGAGAAAUGAGGCAUACUCUUGGCAACAAAGGGGGACACAGAAACAAGAGAGGCAGACACCAAGUCUCAUCACAAUCUACCAAGAACUCCACCACCACCACCACCAAUGUGCAUGGGCUCAAUCUCUAGCUGCAAAGCAGAGAGAGAGAGCAGAGGCAUUCCUGCAGGAGAAAACACCUUGAUUGAUGCCAAUAAAUGCUCUUUAUCCAUCCAUAUCAUUCAUGCAUGGAUCCACCCCAUCAGUGUCCAAAAGUACAAGUGGUCCAGCACCCCAUGCUACACCCCAACACUAGCCCUGUCACUCUUGAAGAGCUCAGUUCACUUGCCUGUUAGCUCUUGGAUGGCUUGCACCAAACUGGAGAUGCUUGCACUGUUAGGGCCUUCGCAAUCACAAGUCAGUAGCCAAAUCUUCUUGCAUUUUGGCAAAGCUAGAACUUGAUCCACAGGCUGUUUAAGUUCACCAGUAUCAUCAAAUUGAGAGCUUGUGUUGCGGCUGAGAGCCUGCAAGAAUGAUUCAUUGAUUCAGCAUAGUAAAUCUGACUGCACCUGUCUAAAAGGUCCAGAGGUCCAGAAGUCCAUUACAGCCUUGCUCAUGGAUGAGGAUAUCCAUGCUGAACAAGAUAUGAACCAUGGUAAAUGAUGCAGCAAGAAUGAUAAGCAAUAGCUGAGUGUUUUACCUCUCAGUCUUCAGAAAUAAACACUGGCAAGUGUACUGUAAUGCUGACAGGCAGUAGCAUAACAACUUUCCAAACCAAGUUGUUGGAGGAAACUCUUUAAGUCCUCCAAUGGCUGCAAGUUCAUGCUUUAAGAGAAAGAAGAAAGGAUCUGUAUAGCUGACACAAGUGAGCCCACACCCUCAACAGAUUGGUGGCUUUGGGACAUGACAGUGAUGCAGUACCAGCAGCUGCCGGUGAGAACUGAAUGCUGUAUGGGUAUUAUGUGAGGUGGUUCUGUGUGUGUGUGUGUGUGUGAGAGAGAGAGAGAGAGAGAGAGAGAGAGAGAUGGAGAAAUGAUGGUCCCUGAGAAGUUAAAGCAACCCAACCACCGCAUCUACUGAGACCUCUGACUCCAUCCAGAUUCCCAGCAGAAGCGUGAUGAAUGGAUCCAUGUAUUACCUGCAGGUCAAUGUCCUUUAGUUCUAUGUUGCAUUGCCUUCCAUUGCUGUAAUAGUGGAUGUUUCACUCCAUUAUUAGCUCUUGCUUUCUCCUUCUUCCUCUUGUUUGCUUUUAUGCCAUUCAAUUCAAGCAUGGGAAGAAAUUUGUGUUCAUGAACAUAAUAAAAGAAUGCAUCAGAUCUGUAUCUCAGAAGAAGAACUUAUAAUCUAGCAAAAACCAAGUCAUUAGUAAUAUAUAAUCUCAUAAAAGCAGCAAG
Molecule: long non-coding RNA, 2314 nt
Filed under: Musa acuminata (dwarf banana)
Lineage: Eukaryota; Viridiplantae; Streptophyta; Magnoliopsida; Zingiberales; Musaceae
Description: long non-coding RNA (MACU_LNC002210)
Source: RNAcentral